RNAcentral lists this ribosomal RNA (965 nucleotides) under Escherichia coli. Its description in RNAcentral is "partial 23S ribosomal RNA". It matches the Rfam family "Bacterial large subunit ribosomal RNA", at positions 430 to 1393 of the family's 2925-position model. The record is from RNAcentral. Lineage: Bacteria; Pseudomonadati; Pseudomonadota; Gammaproteobacteria; Enterobacterales; Enterobacteriaceae.
UAUCCUGUCUGAAUAUGGGGGGACCAUCCUCCAAGGCUAAAUACUCCUGACUGACCGAUAGUGAACCAGUACCGUGAGGGAAAGGCGAAAAGAACCCCGGCGAGGGGAGUGAAAAAGAACCUGAAACCGUGUACGUACAAGCAGUGGGAGCACAGAGCAAUCUGUGUGACUGCGUACCUUUUGUAUAAUGGGUCAGCGACUUAUAUUCUGUAGCAAGGUUAACCGAAUAGGGGAGCCGAAGGGAAACCGAGUCUUAACUGGGCGUUAAGUUGCAGGGUAUAGACCCGAAACCCGGUGAUCUAGCCAUGGGCAGGUUGAAGGUUGGGUAACACUAACUGGAGGACCGAACCGACUAAUGUUGAAAAAUUAGCGGAUGACUUGUGGCUGGGGGUGAAAGGCCAAUCAAACCGGGAGAUAGCUGGUUCUCCCCGAAAGCUAUUUAGGUAGCGCCUCGUGAAUUCAUCUCCGGGGGUAGAGCACUGUUUCGGCAAGGGGGUCAUCCCGACUUACCAACCCGAUGCAAACUGCGAAUACCGGAGAAUGUUAUCACGGGAGACACACGGCGGGUGCUAACGUCCGUCGUGAAGAGGGAAACAACCCAGACCGCCAGCUAAGGUCCCAAAGUCAUGGUUAAGUGGGAAACGAUGUGGGAAGGCCCAGACAGCCAGGAUGUUGGCUUAGAAGCAGCCAUCAUUUAAAGAAAGCGUAAUAGCUCACUGGUCGAGUCGGCCUGCGCGGAAGAUGUAACGGGGCUAAACCAUGCACCGAAGCUGCGGCAGCGACACUGUGUGUUGUUGGGUAGGGGAGCGUUCUGUAAGCCUGCGAAGGUGUGCUGUGAGGCAUGCUGGAGGUAUCAGAAGUGCGAAUGCUGACAUAAGUAACGAUAAAGCGGGUGAAAAGCCCGCUCGCCGGAAGACCAAGGGUUCCUGUCCAACGUUAAUCGGGGCAGGGUGAGUCGACCCCUA